This 316-nucleotide ribosomal RNA is filed under the name uncultured eukaryote. Its description in RNAcentral is "partial 18S ribosomal RNA". It matches the Rfam family "Eukaryotic small subunit ribosomal RNA", at positions 1470 to 1796 of the family's 1831-position model. The record is from RNAcentral.
CCCCUAGAUGUUCUGGGCCGCACGCGCGCUACACUGAACAGUUCAACAAGUCUUAACCUUGGCCGAUAGGUCUGGGUAAUCUUUGAACGCUGUUCGUGAUUGGGAUAGACCUUUGCAAUUAUGGAUCUUCAACGAGGAAUUCCUAGUAAACGCAAGUCAUCAGCUUGCAUUGAUUACGUCCCUGCCCUUUGUACACACCGCCCGUCGCACCUACCGAUUGAAUGGUCCGGUGAAAUCCUCGGAUCGAGCCGUGGGGCAACUCCGGUUCGAGAAGUUGAUUAAACCUUACCAUUUAGAGGAAGGUGAAGUCGUAACA